RNAcentral lists this ribosomal RNA (484 nucleotides) under uncultured bacterium. Its description in RNAcentral is "partial 16S ribosomal RNA". It matches the Rfam family "Bacterial small subunit ribosomal RNA", at positions 30 to 507 of the family's 1533-position model. The record is from RNAcentral.
AUUGAACGCUGGCGGCAGGCCUAACACAUGCAAGUCGAGCGGAUGAAGGGAGCUUGCUCCUGGAUUCAGCGGCGGACGGGUGAGUAAUGCCUAGGAAUCUGCCUGGUAGUGGGGGAUAACGUCCGGAAACGGACGCUAAUACCGCAUACGUCCUGAGGGAGAAAGUGGGGGAUCCUCGGACCUCACGCUAUCAGAUGAGCCUAGGUCGGAUUAGCUAGUUGGUGGGGUAAAGGCCUACCAAGGCGACGAUCCGUAACUGGUCUGAGAGGAUGAUCAGUCACACUGGAACUGAGACACGGUCCAGACUCCUACGGGAGGCAGCAGUGGGGAAUAUUGGACAAUGGGCGAAAGCCUGAUCCAGCCAUGCCGCGUGUGUGAAGAAGGUCUUCGGAUUGUAAAGCACUUUAAGUUGGGAGGAAGGGCAGUAAGUUAAUACCUUGCUGUUUUGACGUUACCAACAGAAUAAGCACCGGCUAACUUCGUG